GCGGAAGUAGCUCAGUGGUAGAGCAUCGCCUUGCCAAGGCGAGGGUCGCGAGUUCAAAUCUCGUCUUCCGCU
This 72-nucleotide transfer RNA is filed under the name Acetobacterium bakii. It matches the Rfam family "tRNA". From Rfam's summary of the family: Transfer RNA (tRNA) molecules are approximately 80 nucleotides in length. The record is from Rfam by way of RNAcentral. Lineage: Bacteria; Bacillati; Bacillota; Clostridia; Eubacteriales; Eubacteriaceae.